Molecule: ribosomal RNA, 271 nt
Filed under: uncultured archaeon
Lineage: Archaea
Description: partial 16S ribosomal RNA
Rfam family: Archaeal small subunit ribosomal RNA
Source: RNAcentral
AUUAGAUACCCCCGUAGUCCUAGCCGUAAACGAUACUCGCUAGGUGUCGGCCACGGUGCGACCGUUGUCGGUGCCGUAGGGAAGCCGUGAAGCGAGCCACCUGGGAAGUACGGCCGCAAGGCUGAAACUUAAAGGAAUUGGCGGGGGAGCACCACAACGGGUGGAGCUUGCGGUUUAAUUGGAUUCAACGCCGGAAAUCUUACCGGGACCGACAGCAAUAUGAAGGCCAGGCUGAAGACUUUGCCGGAUUAGCUGAGAGGUGGUGCAUGGC